UUGUCUCAAAGAUUAAGCCAUGCAUGUCUAAGUAUAAGCAACUUGUACUGUGAAACUGGGAAUGGCUCAUUAAAUCAGUCAUCGUUUAUUUGAUAGUACCUUACUACAUGGAUACCUGUGGUAAUUCUAGAGCUAAUACAUGCUAAAAACCCCGACUUCAGGAAGGGGUGUAUUUAUUAGAUAAAAAACCAACGCCCUUCGGGGCUCCUCGGUGAAUCAUAAUAACUUAACGAAUCGCAUGGCCUUGCGCCGGCGAUGGUUCAUUCAAAUUUAUGCCCUAUCAACUUUCGAUGGUAGGAUAGUGGCCUACCAUGGUGGCAACGGGUAACGGGGAAUUAGGGUUCGAUUCCGGAGAGGGAGCCUGAGAAACGGCUACCACAUCCAAGGAAGGCAGCAGGCGCGCAAAUUACCCAAUCCCGACACGGGGAGGUAGUGACAAUAAAUACUGAUACAGGGCUCUUUUGGGUCUUGUAAUUGGAAUGAGUCCAAUUUAAACCUCUUAACGAGGAACAAUUGGAGG
This 520-nucleotide ribosomal RNA is filed under the name uncultured fungus. RNAcentral describes it as "SSU rRNA". It matches the Rfam family "Eukaryotic small subunit ribosomal RNA", at positions 32 to 554 of the family's 1831-position model. Lineage: Eukaryota; Fungi. The record is from RNAcentral.